UCUUUUUCAUAACUUUAAUGAACUGAUAUUUGUGUUACUGCAGAUUACCUGGCAUUGAUGUCUUUCAUUGCAUUCCUCUACAUCCUGAAUGCAAUACAGCAAUUUAAACACAGCAGUAAUUUCCCUGGUACAGUAUCAUUAUAACAUCAAUGCAUUUUAAUCAUUGAUUAUGCAGCUUAAUAGACUUUCAACUGGUUUUAAAUAAUAUUUUGUUGAAACACACAGCCAGUCUGAAUUUUUCAUUUAACGGACUUCCCUUUGUUUUUCUGAUUUGACUGAAAUUAAGAAAUAUGACUUAAGAAAAAAACUUUUUUUCCUGUAUCAGGAGUAACUGUAGAACCAGAAAAAAAAUUAAAAAUCAGUUUGUGUUUUGAACUAUUUUCAUGCAAGUAAAAUUGAAAAUAGUUCAAAAAGCAUGGCGAGAUUUUUUUGCCUUAGUCUUACAUACUUACUAAAACAGGCCUGAUUGCUUUUCAGCUGUUCUUCAUAUCCUAGUAUAUGUGUUUGGUUCUGCUGUCCUAAGUGUCCUUAAUUCAGCUGCUCUAGCAACAGAAGUCAUUCUGAAAGCAGAAAAUGGGGAACGAACUGUGGAAGAUCUUCGGUUGAUCGUCUUUCCCCUUGAGUCUUUCUUUUUGGCCUGUUGGCUAGUUUUACAGAUCUAUGCAUACUGUAUGCAGAAUACAGGGUAAGUACAAACUACCUGUAGUAAAUGCAUUUGACUAAUUAUGAGUAUGUUUAUCUGUUAUAAAUCCAACUAGGCUUUAAGUCUUAAUACAAUUUAAGCCUAGUUGUAUAAAAUAAGUUAUAAUGUAAAACCUUCUAAAUUAGCGGGACUGUGUCUCAAUCCGUAAGUUCCUUUCACUGUUUGUGGUAACACUACCAUUCCAUUUUACCUUAGAAUUAAAAAAUACUUGAAGCGCAUUGUCCAGAGCUGCAAAAUCUGUGGCCAAUCUUCAACAUCAUCUCAGCAAAAUCAGACGCCGCAGGAACUUCAAGAGAUAGUACCUCUCUCUCCACCUGAGCAGAGUACAACACACACACAGGAGGUAUUUUCUGGAACAGAUGAUGGUCUCAGUGAGGUGUAAAGGAUCCUUUCUCAUCUACAAAAGGACACAGUCUUAAGGCCUGAUUCUGUGUACCCACAAUGCACUUUGUAAUAUUUGUCUUUGCUAAUUGGUACACAGAAUUAUGACGUCAUUCGUCUCAAAACAUCACUCCUACGUUUCCGUGCUAAUACUGC
Molecule: long non-coding RNA, 1240 nt
Organism: Anguilla anguilla (European eel)
Lineage: Eukaryota; Metazoa; Chordata; Actinopteri; Anguilliformes; Anguillidae
Exons: 5
Source: RefSeq, a predicted model, not a curated record